AACAGAUCAGGGCGUGACAAGGUGUGUCAAACCUUUUGACUGUACAUAUUCAAACAUGUAUUACAAGGUUGACCAGAGGACAAUAUUGGAUUGGCAAAGAUUCUUACUUCUUUUACAAUGUAGAAAUGAAAAGAACAAUUUCAAAAUGUAGAUAACCUCUCCCAAUGCAAUUUAGUAGAGACCACAGGCCUGACACAAAAUGUAGAAAUACGUUUUACAACAAUUUUGUGAACGCAAAAAGUAUCAGAUAGAGAAAUAUUAAGAUAAACACAACAACUGUUCAGAGACUAUUUUAUUUUAAAACAUACCCAAUUUGUCUAUUUGUAGAUUUGUAGUAAAAAUAUGUCACCCGGGUGUUGCGUUUAGCCUACAACAUGUCAUGGAAAGCAUGGCCCCAUUCUACAGUGGCGCAAAAUAUAAAAAAAUAAUACUGACAACAAUUCAGUAAACGCAAUAAGUAUUAGAUAGAGACAGAUAAAGAGAGAAAGUAAAAAACACAGUAAGUGUUAGGCUAGCUUCAGACUUUUUUUGCCUAUGAAAUUUGUAGGACAAAUUCAUAUUUCAAACUAUCACAUUAGUGUUUGCAUUUAGCCUACAACAUGUCAUGGAACUUCUGGAAGCACAGCCCCAUCCUGCAAAGUGGCACAGAACACCUAGAGCACCCAAAGGAGGUUUCUACACAUCGUCCAUUCUUUGCCCUGCGUCCACUCAAGAUGCACACCACACACCCUCCAACAUUAUGGUAGCCCCUGAGCUGGUCGAGAUGGUCAACCUCGCCCAUUUUCUUGUUGCAAUCCAGGACCAGCUCUGAAAUAAACAGUAUGAUUUUGUUCUGCCUGUAUUUUGAUACUGGUUUUAGGGUAUUUUCCUGAGCUGUUAGAACAUAGACUGUACACAUCUGUGUACACACUGAAAGCAAGGAGUCACAGAGACACCAUAUUUUUAUCCCCCACUUUACUGUUUUUUGGGGCAUAUACUGCUUCCACAGUAGUCUACAGUCAAAUUAUAUCAUAGCCUCAUCCACUGAGAGGGCUUGCCAUGGGUGAAGUAGUUUAGGGAAUUCUCUUGCAGUAUUUUGAUAAAAGGCCUGACUUUGUGUAAUUUGUCUGUCACAUUAGCUGAAUUUGGAUCGGAGAAGUGCAUGUAUUUACAUAGCUGCUCAAAGCGGUUGUGUGGCAUUUUACUUGUGAUGUAUGGAACCCUGAGGGCGGCGUCAGAGGACCAGUAGUCAAUGAGAGAGGGUAAGCGGUGGAUGCCCAUGAGAAUAUUGAUUCCAAUAACGCAUUUAAUCUCAUCUUUAAAUGUGACAAAUGGGGAGACAUUGGAUGUAGUGGCAUACCGGUUGGUGUUAAACACCAGAUCAGAAAAGAACAGACAACUACCAUUUUCCCCCCAAAAAAAUGUAAACUGCCAAUGUCACUUUAGGCCCAGGCUGUGUGGUUCAAGGGUGAAUGGUGGGACUUGGGGCAGAUGCACUCCACAGAAAGGUAGGCUGGGCUAUUGCCCCUAUAGAUUCCCUUGGCUGGUGGGCUCUCCCUCUUCCUCCUCCUCUAAUUCCUCUUCCUCUCUUCUUCUUCCUCCACUCCCCUCUCCUUCCACUCCUCCCUCCUCUUCCCUCUCCUCUUCCUCUCUUUCUCCCUCCUCUUCACUCUCCUCUUCCUCUCCCCUUUCACUCCCCUCUCCCUCCUCUUCCUCCUCGCUCCAAAUCUCUAUCCCUUCAAUCAUCUCCAACUUUUCCUCCUCCCUGCCUUCUGGUACUGAGCCCUUAUUCUCCCAAUAACUUCUCUCACUGCUGUCACGGACCUAGAGGAACAGAGGAACAGACUGAGAGAGAUCGCGAGAGUUUGAGAGGAAUGGAGAAACAAAUAGGAUACAAUUGUGGUCAGGAACAGCAUCUCUCUCUCUCCCUCUCCCACUGUCUCUCUCUUCCUUCUGCUCUCUUUUUUUUCUCAAUCAUACACAUACUUGCUUCCUAAUAAUCACCUCUUUGGGGUUUCCAAUGUGUGGUACAGUUAGAUGCCUCCCUUUCCACUCACUCACUCACUCACUCACUCACUCACUCACUCACUCACUCACUCACUCACUCACUCACUCACUCACUCACUCACUCACUCACUCACUCACUCACUCACUCACUCACUCACUCACUCACUCACUCACUCACUCACUCACUCACACACAGAGUAAACAGUAUAAUCAGAAUGCUAUACAACACUUUCAAUCAAUCAAUCACAUUUAUUUAAUGAAGCGCUUAGUGGCCAGGAUAGAGCAAACAAAAUGUAAUUCAUGAAUAUGUUCAUGGAUGACCAGCAGUGUUAGAUUAUAACCGUAAAGACUAUAUAGGAUAAACACACUUCAAGACCCAUGGCCAGAUGAUUAAUUGGGCAUCGUUAGCUAGUUAUCUUUGUAGAAAAUAAGAAUUUGUUCUUAACUGACUUGCCUAGUUACAGUUUUUCUCAAUUGUUUACACACAAAUACUGGUACUUGAGACACAAUGACCACAACAUGUAACUCAUGCACCAACCCCCUGAACCAAUUCUGCUAAACUACAAGCACAAUUCCUGCUUUACACUCAAAUUGCAGUUCUAAAACACACUUUUUUCAAAACACUACACACAAUUCAUUGCAUUUGGCACAAUUUUCAUGCAGAAAAUCACUUGUUUUCACAAUGAACACACUGCCAUUCAAAUAUGCACACUGACUCAUCACAUGGGCAAACACCCAUCACACAGUUUUACAAUUAGCAAUCAGAGCUUUAGCAUAAAAGGGCAACAGGUGAGCUCUUCUGUUUUGGCGCAAUGGAUGCCAACAUUGGAAACAGAGGCAGAGCCAGAGGAGUCAGAGUAAGAGGAGGAGGACGGGGAGGAAAAGGACGAGGACGGGGAAGGCCAAGGACCGUAAUCUCUGAUGAGAUCCGAGCCACUUUGGUUGAUCAUGUGGUCAACCAUGGUCUAACAAUGAGGGAGGCUGGGCAAAGAGUACAGCCAAAUUUAAGCAGGUACACUGUAACAUCCAUCAUCCGGACAUUCCGAAAUGAGAAUAGGUAAGAAAUCUACUCUCACUAGAAAAUUGCAGUACUGCAUUUCAAUACAGUACUCAAUGAGUACAGUAGUACAGUAUUGCCUGUGGACUGUUCUGUAGGACUGUAAAAAUAAAGUAUGUUUCAAGUAUUUGGGAAAUGUAUUCCUACUUUGUAUUUACAGUAUUUUACUAUUUGUUUGGCAGAGCUGAAAGAUUACCAACACAAGGUGGUCGGGAACGUGUUCUGUCUCCUGAACAGGAAACUGAAAUCAUGAACAUGGUCCUAGAAAAUAACGGCAUAACAUUACGGCAAAUACAAAGAAAAAUAAUAGAAAACAAAGAGGUAUUUCAAAAUAUUGAUAGGGUAAGCUUAUCAACACUGGACCGUGUCUUGCGCAGAAAUAAUCUCAGGAUGAAGCAGGUCUACAGGGUGCCAUUUGAACGCAAUUCAGAAAGAGUCAAAGAAUUGCGAUAUAACUAUGUGCAAAGAGUCCUUGAGCUAGAGGUGGCUGCAGUGGAGCACCAGUUCAUCUUCAUUGAUGAGAUUGGAUUCAACCUCACAAAAAGACGAAAGAGGGGAAGGAAUAUCAUCGGCCAGCGUGCCAUUGUUCAAGUCCCUGGCCAGCGCGGAGGGAACAUCACAAUGUGUCCAGCGAUUACCCACCACGGCGUCAUCCAUCACCAUGCUACCCUUGGCCCCUACAACAACGCCCAUCUGAUCACAUUCCUGGACACCCUACACAACACACUCAUUCCACCAGAUCAGGUAGAUGGCCCAGAGCAGCUCAGGUACGUUGUCAUUUGGGACAACAUAAGUUUCCACAGGGCUGCUCUGGUUUGUAACUGGUUCACUGCCCACCCACGCUUUUUAGUUGUUUAUCUCCCUCCAUAUUCUCCAGUCCUCAAUCCUAUUGAGGAAUUUUUUUCUGCCUGGAGAUGGAAAGUGUAUGACCGAAAUUCACAAACGCGUAUACCUCUUCUCCAAGCUAUGGAAGACGCAUGUGGAGAAAUAGCAGCUGAUGCUUUUCAUGGCUGGAAUCGGCAUGCUAGGCGAUAUUUCCCCCGCUGCUUGGCCAGGGAAAACAUUGCUUGUGAUGUGGAUGAGGUGCUGUGGCCAGACCGCAACAGAAGAGAGGAUGCAGCAUAGUUUUAAAUGUUUAAAUUUUAAAUGUUUUUUACUUUAACUGUAUACAUUAAAUUCUUCUGUUUUGUAUGUAGACCACUGUAUGUGCAACUUUGUGUUGGUUGGGAAUGGGAUGUACACUGUGUACAUUGUUUUUGUGGGAAAAAUAAAAUAUAUUUGUUACCGUG
RNAcentral lists this long non-coding RNA (4332 nucleotides) under Salmo salar (Atlantic salmon). RNAcentral describes it as "lncRNA (ENSSSAG00000084591.1)". Lineage: Eukaryota; Metazoa; Chordata; Actinopteri; Salmoniformes; Salmonidae. The record is from RNAcentral.